CCGAGAGUCAUCUCUCCACCCACGUGUGUACCGUCCUCUGUUUCUUCGGCGGGCCGGCCCGCUCCGGCCCGUCGGUGGCAACUCCGUCGUGGAACCUGCGGUCUGAGUUGGGCUUCCAAAUGAACA
This 126-nucleotide unclassified non-coding RNA is filed under the name uncultured fungus. Its description in RNAcentral is "sequence contains ITS1". The record is from RNAcentral. Lineage: Eukaryota; Fungi.